CCGGAAGGCAUAUUUAGUGGCGAACGGGUGAGUAAUGCAUGAGAACGUAUCCUCAAGAGGGGGACAACAUUGGGAAACCGAUGCUAAUACCCCAUAAGCCGGGAGGUAAAAGGAGCAAUCCGCUUGAGGAGCGGUUCAUGUCCUAUCAGCUAGUUGGUGAGGUAACGGCUCACCAAGGCGAAGACGGGUAGCCGGCCUGAGAGGGUGAACGGCCACACUGGAACUGAGAGACGGUCCAGACUCCUACGGGAGGCAGCAGUGGGGAAUAUUGGGCAAUGGGGGAAACCCUGACCCAGCGACGCCGCGUGAGGGAAGAAGGCCUUAGGGUCGUAAACCUCUGUUGUGUGGGAAGAAGAGCGUGACGGUACCACACGAGGAAGUCCCGGCUAACUACGUGCCAGCAGCCGCGGUAAUACGUAGGGGACGAGCGUUGUCCGGA
Molecule: ribosomal RNA, 439 nt
Filed under: uncultured Synergistota bacterium
Lineage: Bacteria; Thermotogati; Synergistota
Description: bacterial SSU rRNA
Rfam family: Bacterial small subunit ribosomal RNA
Source: RNAcentral